UAAGGUAGCCAAAUGCCUCGUCAUCU
Molecule: non-coding RNA, 26 nt
Filed under: Arabidopsis thaliana (thale cress)
Lineage: Eukaryota; Viridiplantae; Streptophyta; Magnoliopsida; Brassicales; Brassicaceae
Also listed under: 7 other names
Source: RNAcentral